AUGUCAAAACAACAGAUACUCUUAUGGUAAUGAAGGUUUCACAUAAUCACGGGAGCAAAGGAAGCUCAACUCCAGAUCGAUGGAGUAAAGAAGACAGAUCACAAAACUGAUCGUUUAAUUGUAAAAGCAAUGGGCAGAUUCAGAAUUAAAACAACAACAACAACAAAACGUUUAAGGGAUGAAAGGAGAGGGUCCAAGUCACAGAUGAGAUAAGGGCUAGUAAAAACUGCAAGGUCACUGGGACCUAUCGGGUCGCGGAGGUGGAGGUGGGGGUUGUGUUGGGGGGAGCGGCAGAGUCGGCGAAGCACCGAGAGUGAGAAAACGACGUUCCACGCCCGGGAGUCCUUGGUUUGGGACAGCGGAGCUGCCGUGAAAGUCAGGACGCCGGCGAUUGCAUUUCAAAAAGAAAAUUCCUGAUUGAUCACAAGUUGAUGCCUCAAAAGGAGGAGUAUGCUGAAGAAGAUAGAGAAGUUCAUAUUAUUUCACUGAAAAGUGCUUGAAGGAGCUGCUGAAAUUAAAGACAAAUUAAGCAUUUCAUUUACAAAAAAGUAGAGGUAUGAGUUCAGACAUUUUCUACCAAUCAAGAUAUGUGAUCCAAAACAGUUUGGAAAUCAUUGAACUGGUAAAAAGGACAGAGAUGGCUUUCUAGAGAAGUUAACGUUUGUUGGAUAUCUAUUGUACUCUGCUUGGUCCUGGCAAUGAAAAGAUGAAUGACGUGGCCUCCAGUCCAGAGCCGUCCUCUGUCUAAUGGGGAAAACAGAGUGUGACCAUAUGAAGCAGUGGAAUCAUGUGACUAGGCAAUACUCCUUGACCACCAACUCUGUUUCAGGCACCGAGAUGGAUGCCAGGAGUAUACAGUCAAACCAGAUGCUGUUUCUGCCCUCAGGGGACUUAAAGUCACAUUGAAGACACAGUGUCGUAAAGCAGCGCAUCCAAGUGUGAGAACUGCUGUGACCAAGGUUGAAACAAGGUGCAUGUUGCAGUGUUGAUCAAAGAAGAGACUGAUUAUCUUUGCCUGAAAGAGGAAAGUGGACCAUCUUAGAAAAGGCUUCCUAGAAGAAAUGGUGAUAGAUCUAGUUCUUAAAGAAUCAGUAAGGCUUUGCCAAGAAGAUGGUAGAAGGAAAAACAUUCUAGAGAGAAGUAUUUUCUAGCCGCUCAUAAACUAUUUUUUCUUCACGUUCUUAUUUGCCACUGCUUCACAAGUUCUUGCUUAGCUAGACAAAUUCUAUUAGAUCAAGAUUUACAAAAUGUCUCUCUUCACCAUAUCUACAGUCUGAUUUGGCUUUAGAAAGGGCACAGAUUUAGAACUACAUUGUACACCAACACUGGGCAAUUCAAACGUUCAUACAAGUUGGAGGCACCAGAUUCUUUAUUUCUGUGUCCUAGAAAGUGUGGCCUCAUAGGUAGUUGUGAGUGGUGACUUGAGUUUAUCGCUUCGCUGGUCCUGUAUGCUUAUCAUUGCCUUUCACCCUGCCCUUCAUCUAAGUAGAUCUUUCCCCUGACCAUACCCAUGGCGACCAAGCUUACAGACAGAAUAUUAAGAUCCUCAGCCCUAGGGGCUUGUCACAACUGACUAGACAUAAUCCAGAUCACAACAACCCAUAGCUCAGUUGAGCCCAUCAGACUCUUUUUCUGAGAUUCUGAUGAUAAGUUGCUAUGCUUUGAGCACUUGGUAGUAAAGGUCUUGGGAUAAGAGAUCUAAACUUAGCUCUGCUAGUUGGCAGAGAUAAACUACCCAUCAGUACCAAAAUGCCAGUGGUCUAAGACGGAUACCUAUGGCCAGGUAGAGGCAGCAAAGGUGGCAUGGGAAUUCCUACCCAGGACUCACUCGGCCAGGGGCCAGAUUGCUCUACCAAAAAGUAGGAGAUGCCUUGAAUAGUUAUGUGCAUUCCCACUACAAAGUCAUUCACCUGGGGGGCUGAGAAAGAUUUUCCAGUGGACCAGGUGGAGAGGGAGUUUAUUUGAAGUCGUCGUGGGAAUUUCACACAGUCCAACUGCGGCUAGCACCACUAGGCUUCCUAACUGCUGGGAGGAAACCUUCAGACAAGCUACUCUGUCUCCUUUUUCCUUCCGGUAGCACCAUUUCUCUUUGCUGCAUUUUUAUUUUCUUUUUUUCUGAUUUUUUGGGGUAAUUAGGUUUGCUUUAAAUUUUUUUGUUUUUCAAUAAUGGAAGUAUUGGGGAUUGAACCCAGGACCUUGUGCAUGCUAGGCAAGUACUCUACCGCUGAGCUAUAACUGCUUCUCUCUCUCUUUAUCUUUAUUCUCCUUAAUGCAGCCAGUCUCCUUUCAUGAGGCUCUUAGUUUCUGUUUCUGAGUAACUUCAGUUGUUUUUUUUAUUGUAUUAUUUAAUUAUUUCAUUGUGGUGGGGGGAGGUAAUCAGGUUUAUUUAUUUUUAGAGGAGGUGCUGGGGAUUGAACCCAGGGCCUCAUGCAUGCUAAGCAUGCGCUCUGCCACAGAGCUAUACCCUCCCCACCGAGUAAGAUCAGUUUAACAUGAGCCCCUCCCUUGCUCCAGAGCCAUUUUGGCAUGGAUCUGAUAUUCCAGCUCCAGUAGCCACUGCUGCUUACUGAGUCAAACUCUUCUGUCGCUUAGUUUGAACACCUGUGUCCAAGGGUAUACCCCUCAGAUAGUUGACAUGUUCGGUACCGAUGGGUAGAGUUUUUCUCUGCCAGCUAGCAGUCUGAGAGUUUUCAUAUCUUACUCAGGACCCUUUACUACCAAGUGGUCAAAGCAUAACAUCUUAACCUCAGCUGGCAGGAUAGUCUAGAUAGUGUAAGAUUUAAAAGGCGUGGCUGGAGUGUUUGCAAGAAUAGGCAAGUUGGCGAAAGUCCUGCUGCUGGCACAGGGAAAACAAAGGCCAGGUUCUGCCAAGGUGUCGUCAUUGUGGGGCAUGUCGGCAGCAUGUUCCAUCCAAGCUGCAACUAGUGUUGUAUCCUCUCGAGAGGAUUAGGCAAGCUUGUUCUGGUGGAGAGAAAGCAAGCAGGGCAGUCCAGGUGCGGUGGUCGAGAAAGGGCGCGAGGCGCGAGGUUAAAUAGAAUCUGAUACCGACGACAUUCAAGAAAAAAGAAAGAGGCCGUCAGCCAGGGCAUGCUUGGAGUGGGUGGAUAUUUCAGUCGACAGCAUUUGCUGAAAGAGGCCUGUGGUUUCAGAGCUGCUCAGAGCCACUGAACAGCAUUCCUGCCUCUGGACUGUAGAGCCUUCUGUAGCCAAAGGGAGUCUAGGACCAGUCCGGGGGCUUCAGGGCCAUUGCCCAAGAGGGAUGAGUGUGCCGUCUUCUGCACAGACUUGGAUUUUGAUAAGUCCAUGAUCUCCACGGGGGCUCUGAUGGGUCACACCCCAGUGGUGCCAUGCCAGCCUGGCACCUCGGAGAAUAUUUCAUUCUACUGAAUAUCAAGGUCACGCUCUAUCACAUAACCUUCGUUUCGUUUCUUUAUAGUACUUACCGCCAUCUGGAAAUCUUAUUUGAUUACUUGCUUACCUUCUAUCUCCCCGCAGUAAGAUGUAAAUUCCUUUAGAACAGAAACAUUAAUCUUUUCUUUUUCCAUUGUUGUGUUCUUAACACCUAGAACAAUGUUUGGCUGUUAGUAGGUUCUCAGCCAAUAUUUAUUGAAUAAAUAAAUAAGUCCAUGAACUUGAUGACAUGGUCAAGGGCCAAGGGCCUGGACAACAUUCCAAGUCCUGGUGAGUCCCCUGACAGACCUUGACUGAAAUGAAAUGUCUGCAUUUUUAAAUAUACUUAGAAAACCUGACUGGGUGUUAACAACUGAACUGAGCUCCCGCGGCCCAUCCACACCCAAAUUCUGUUGUCAACUGAUUUAGCAAAUUUUCUAAGAGGAAAAAAAAUGUGACCAUGCUCUUCUGGUAAGAAGAAUAUGUAUCUACUUGUUGCCAUUAAACAAGCCUUGAGCCACAGAUGUUUUCUCCUUUUCAGCCUGCUUCUGAGAUGACUCUCCAGCCUCCUCCCCUAGUCAGCCCCCAACUUUGCCUCUUUCUUCCCCAUAAACAAACGUCUCAGUUCUCACACGUAAUCAAACCUCUCAGGGGAGUGUCAAUGAGGUAUUUUCAGGAAACAACUGAAAUUUCUCCAUGUUCUUUGCUUUCUGAACAGCAGCCACGUGGCUCAGUAAGUGUACAGCACGUGUUUACUUUAACAAAGAGCCUCCCGCUGAGUCAGCCUCCCUUCCUCCCGACUUCCUUUUCCAUUCUUAAAAGAUUGUUUGAAUGAGUCCAAACUUGGCCCGGCUCUUCUCGACAUGUAGUGGGGCAACAGUUAUUAGCGCAAACACUGUCACUCUGGAAAUAUGCAUUUCUUUAGAGAGUGUAAUCAAAAUGAAAACAGCAUUCUAUUAACAAAAGCAAGCCUGGAGUUUCUAAGAGGAUAUGGUGACUUUACACACAAUCUCUUUCUUUCAAAGCCACAAGUUAGAGUGAAUUUUAUUAAGGGGUGGAAUGAAAUAAUCAGUGCUAAAAUUCCAGUAAUGAAAUUUUCAUUAGCGGCUAAGUCGAUCAACAGAUAUUUACUGAACACCUUUUACAUAAAAUGAUUGGAGUUGGGUAAUCAAGGAACAUACACGUGUUCCAGACUGGGAAGCUCUAUUUGGGAAGAUGGGCUGUUACCUCACAGGCGUCCCAAACUUAACACGAUCAGAACUGAACUGCUCACGUCCCUACUAGGGCCUUUCUUAGUGUUCCUUAUUUUAGUAAGUGGUUCACAAUCUAGUGGAAGAAAUAGAUAAAAGUCAACAUGAAACAGUACUGGUGCAUUAAUGGGGUUAGUUAGGUCCGAGGUAUUGUGUAUGUUUGAGGAGGGGCAUUUAAUGCAGCUAAGCGCAAUGGGACAUUGAAAUCAAUAUUCUUCAUUACCAGAGAAGAAUUUCUUGCUAUCAUUUAAAAAGAGAUUCAAGCAUAUAUGCUGGGUAACUCUUUUCAAAUGCAUUUUUUCCUUCUCUUCAGAUGCUGUCUGUCUUAUGGGCUGAUAGAGUUAUACCCUCAAUGACGUGGGUCAUUCUUUUUGAUGUUUCUGCCUGGGGACUGAGUGCCUUUCUGACUCAUGUAUUUUCCUUACAAAACAGAAUUGAACUGCUAUCCAAAAGGGCCAGCUGCUUUGAAUUUUUCACAAAGAUUAAAAAGUUCCCUCUUCUUCAGCUCUGGCGAUGUCAGUAAUGACUAUUGUGGUGACCGUUUUGAGGCUCAUAUCAGUUUAAUUGCUUUGAUAAACUAACUUCACUUUGCAGUCCCCUUCAAACUGAAUAAUUAAUGAUAGGACUGUUAAAACUGAGGACCCAGUUUUAGAAUUUAAUGGGCUUUAUAAUUUGUCCUCUGUUUGAAAAGACUUUAGCUCUGUAAUAUUGGAAGAAUAUAUUCAGAAUUUCAAUAUGGAGAAUUAUUUACAAGCCAACUAAUUGUAAAACAUAUAAUGAUAAUGUAGUCCAGGUCUAAUUUUCCAGUGUAUUGGUGUGUAUCAUAUAUAAAUCCUAUUCGAUAUGAGGUCUCUGUAGUUCAGGGCAAAAUAUUUUCCCAUCAGACAGAUGAGAAGCUUCCUAAAGCAGUUAGGCAAAAAUGAUUACUAGUCUCUUGACAAAAUUAGUUUUUAUUUUUAUGGAUCUAUUCAUGCAUACAGAUGAAAUUUAAAAAAAAAUCCUUAAUGAAUUGCUAACGAAAUACUAUCGUGCAGUACUCAGUACUCAGUAGUACUCAGUAGUACUGGGCUUGCGACAAGCAAGAUCUCCUGCCCCCGAAGUGUCAACCCAUCCCCUCCCAUUUUCAGUAUUUUAUCUUUAUUCUUAUGAAACUGAAAAGCUUUUUGGUCUUCAAAGCCUCGAUACAUAGGAAGAUUUUGACAGGCAAAAAAUAGGAUUAAAUGGGUUCCUAAUUAUAGAAAUAUAAAUGUGCAAAAAUUUAGAGGCAUGAAGUGGCAUGUUUGGGAAAAAUGAUUUUAUCAGAUAAUACCUUAAAAGUAAUUCAAUGACUGGUAUUUAUUAUAUGCUUAUUAUAUACCAGGCGUCCUGGGAAUUACUGCAUGUAGAUGACCACGUUUAAUCUUCACAGAAAUCCACUUCUAAAGAGGGCUACCUUUCAAAGUGAAGAAAAUUAAUCCUAGAAAUGUGGAGGUCAACAAAAGAGUCAACAAACCCUUUGGACUUUGCCUUCAAAAUAUUUCCAGAAUUGGACCCCUUUUACCACAUUCAUCCCUGUUGUCUAAACCAUCGUCAUUUCUGACUGGACCAUCACAGUAACCUUCAAACUGGUCUCCCUGUUUCUAUUUUUUGCUCUCCUACAAUGCUUCACAUUGCAUUCAGAAAAAUAAUUUUAAAAUUGAUGUAAAACCAGGUCACUUCCCUGCUCAAAACUCUCCAAAGAUUUUCCACCCAAAAUAAAAUCUAAACUCUUUACCAUAGCCUACAAGGCACUACGUGGUUCCAGGCUUUAGAGAUGCCCACGUAUUACAAAAACACACAAAAAUAGAUUUAUUUGAGGACACGGGUAACUUUGUCACGCAGGAGCCAUUUCUCGGUGCAUUUCUGGCACAGAACAGCCCCAUUCCAAACAACCACUUUUAUGACUAACACUGUUCAGGCUGCAGGGAAAUUGUUUGCCCAUGUCUUUAAAAUGCUGUAAAUAUUUGUGGAUUGUGCUGUUACCAACGUCUGAGGGUGACAUGACUUCCAAAGGCAGUGGAAGACCUUAGAGAAAAGGCAAAUUAAUUAACUUCUCAAAUCCUUUCAGAUAGCAUGAAUACCGAAAAUUCUUGUAUAAUGAAGUACUAUUUGCCAGUAGCACCUUGCAUCUUUUUCUGUUCUGAUUCAUGGUUCAGAAAAAUUGUUGCGGAGCAAUCAUUGCAGGUGGUACAAUGUUAAACAACUUAUAUUUACUCUCAAAUUUGUAUGUAAGUAGAUCUAACAUAACAUGUGAAGAUUUAUACCAGUUCUUUACAUUGGCAAUUAGGCAUAAAAUGUAAAGUUGCAAAUAAUUUUCUUUCUUUGAUAAAAAGUUGGUAGGAUUUAAUUAAAAUUUUGAAAAAUACA
This is a long non-coding RNA of Camelus dromedarius (Arabian camel), 7025 nucleotides long. RefSeq lists it as uncharacterized. The record is from RefSeq and is a predicted model, not a curated record. NCBI's taxonomy places the organism in Eukaryota, Metazoa, Chordata, Mammalia, Artiodactyla, Camelidae. The transcript is spliced from 6 exons.